This 253-nucleotide ribosomal RNA is filed under the name uncultured bacterium. RNAcentral describes it as "partial 16S ribosomal RNA". It matches the Rfam family "Bacterial small subunit ribosomal RNA", at positions 524 to 776 of the family's 1533-position model. The record is from RNAcentral.
UACAGAGGUCUCGAGCGUUAGUCGGAGUCACUGGGCUUAAAGCGUACGUAGGCGGAUAUGCAGGCGUCGUGUGAAAUCCCUCGGCUCAACCGGGGAACUGCACGGCGAACCGCAUGUCUUGAGAUCGGUAGGGGCUGUCGGAACGAUAGGUGGAGUGGUGAAAUGCGUUGAUAUCUAUCGGAACGCCGAAGGUGAAGACAGGCAGCUGGGCCGAUUCUGACGCUGAGGUACGAAAGCGUGGGGAGCAAACGGG